CGCAAGUGACGGUAGGAGCAGAGAAGGACCGGCCAACUACGUGCCAGCAGCCGCGGUGAUACGUAGGGUCCGAGCGUUGUCCGGAAUUAUUGGGGCGUAAAGGGCUUGUAGGCGGUUUGUCACGUCGGAAAGUGAAAACUCAGGGCUCAACCCUGAGCCUGCUUCCGAUACGGGCAAACUAGAGGAAUGCAGGGGAGAAUGGAAUUCCUGGUGGAGCGGUGGAAUGCGCAGAUAUCAGGAGGAACACCAGUGGCGAAGGCGGUUCUCUGGGCAUUUCCUGACGCUGAGAAGCGAAAGCGUGGGGAGCAAACAGGCUUAGAUACCCUGGUAGUCCACGCCGUAAACGGUGGGCACUAGGUGUGGGACUCAUUCCACGAGUUCCGUGCCGUAGCUAACGCAUUAAGUGCCCCGCCUGGGGAGUACGGCCGCAAGGCUAAAACUCAAAGGAAUUGACGGGGGCCCGCACAAGCGGCGGAGCAUGCGGAUUAAUUCGAUGCAA
Molecule: ribosomal RNA, 499 nt
Filed under: uncultured bacterium
Lineage: Bacteria
Description: bacterial SSU rRNA
Rfam family: Bacterial small subunit ribosomal RNA
Source: RNAcentral